GAGUUUGAUCCUGGCUCAGGAUGAACGCUGGCGGCGUGCUUAACACAUGCAAGUCGAACGGAGUUUACAUGUGAGCGUGAAGUGCUUGCACCAAACAAUCUUUUGUAAACUUAGUGGCGGACGGGUGAGUAACGCGUGGGUAACCUGCCGUAUGCAGGGGGACAACAGUUAGAAAUGACUGCUAAUACCGCAUAAGCGCACAGUGCUGCAUGGCACAGUGUGAAAAGAUUUAUCGGCAUACGAUGGACCCGCGUCUGAUUAGCUAGUUGGUGAGGUAACGGCCCACCAAGGCGACGAUCAGUAGCCGGCCUGAGAGGGUGAACGGCCACAUUGGGACUGAGACACGGCCCAAACUCCUACGGGAGGCAGCAGUGGGGAAUAUUGGACAAUGGGGGCAACCCUGAUCCAGCGACGCCGCGUGAGUGAAGAAGUAUUUCGGUAUGUAAAGCUCUAUCAGCAGGGAAGAAAAUGACGGUACCUGACUAAGAAGCCCCGGCUAACUACGUGCCAGCAGCCGCGGUAAUACGUAGGGGGCAAGCGUUAUCCGGAUUUACUGGGUGUAAAGGGAGCGUAGACGGUUUUGCAAGUCUGAAGUGAAAGCCCGGGGCUCAACCCCGGGACUGCUUUGGAAACUGUAGGACUAGAGUGCAGGAGAGGUAAGUGGAAUUCCUAGUGUAGCGGUGAAAUGCGUAGA
Molecule: ribosomal RNA, 694 nt
Filed under: uncultured bacterium
Lineage: Bacteria
Description: bacterial SSU rRNA
Rfam family: Bacterial small subunit ribosomal RNA
Source: RNAcentral